AAUUUUGACCGUUAAUCCAAGCGUAAACGAAAUGAUAAAAUAAUUAAAAGCAUCAAUUAAAAUCAACUAAUCAUUAUCUCUGGGCAAUCCAAUUCAGAAAAUCAGCAUCUCAUUAGCUGCAAUUUUCACUUCUAUGUGACCGUAUCACCAUAGAACUACCAACACUGUAAAUCAUCUUCACAUGGACACUCCCAUGAACCUCCAACUAGUAUAAGCAACCCUUCUCGGUUAACUUAACUACACCCAAUACGCCCACUCUCGUAAUAACAAG
This 271-nucleotide long non-coding RNA is filed under the name Mytilus galloprovincialis (Mediterranean mussel). Lineage: Eukaryota; Metazoa; Mollusca; Bivalvia; Mytilida; Mytilidae. The record is from RNAcentral.